UUAUAAGUAAAAUUUUGCAUUUUAGAUUCAUUCAAUUAAUGAUGUAUCUGGUCUUUAUUAUAGACUACAUACAUCAUUUAAUGAAUGAAUCUAAAAUGCAAAAUUUUGCUUAUAA
MicroRNA precursor from Medicago truncatula (barrel medic), 115 nucleotides. It matches the Rfam family "MIR2593 microRNA precursor family". NCBI's taxonomy places the organism in Eukaryota, Viridiplantae, Streptophyta, Magnoliopsida, Fabales, Fabaceae. The record is from Rfam.